GUUAGAAAAACCAAACUCAAGCUUUUUUUUCGGAUAAUUUUACAAGGCAAAUGCGUCUUCCCAGAAGCCAAGUGAGGGCCCGUGGGAGGACGGAAGCGGUUUCAGCUGUGCCCCAGGGCCUGGCUGGGAGUCUGCACCGUGGCUGAGCACAUGGCCGGCUGGGUGUGGUCCACCAUAGGUCCCCUUGGGAGACAGGCCUGUGUCCCGCACACAAGGAAAGCCUUUGUCCUUGCUCUGUCCUGCCCCAGGAGGCUGUGCCACUGCCCCCAAGCGGCGUGGGGGUCGCCCAGGGACGUCGGGGCACGUGUGCCUCACAGCACUUCCUGCCUGCGCCGCUGCAGGUGUUCACACUGGCCCCCCGACCCCGGCGCUGGGCUCCCGUUCACCAGGUGCUUCCGGUAGGGCCUCGGCCCUCGUGUGCAGCCUGACUCCUGAGUUCUGGCUCCUUUGCUCGCGCAGGUUCCUUGAGAAGAAAGUAGAUGCUUCAGAUAAACUCAGUAGAUAGGCUGUUUUCAAACGUCGUGACUUUGCCACUUUGAUUUCCUUUUCUUCUCAGUGUGUGUCUGUGUGCCUGCGUGUGUGUCAUAUCGGUCAGGCAUGUCUGUGUCUGUGUGUCUGCCGUAUGCCUGCGCGUGUCACAUGUCAUGCGUGUCUGUCGUGUGUCUGCCAUGUCUGUGUCAUAUUUGUCAAGCUUGGUGUGUCUGCCAUGUGCUCGAGUAUGCCUAGGGGGGUGCCACGCUUGCCCAGCUGGGGGGCUGUGUGUGGUGGGAGGCAUUCUGGAGCCAUCUUUUUGGGCAGAGUGGCCGUGGUGGGAGCCACAGAUGGAUCUCGUGUUGCGUUGACUGACUGUGACUGUCCUGUACGUCGCAGACUGUCUUGAUGGGCCACGUGACUGUGCCUGCAGGGCCUGGAUCCUUCCACCACUGUGGUUAGAAACGGGUUGCUUGGACAGAUAGGAGCUCAGAACCCAAGUCUGACAGUAUUCUGUGUACACGUGGCACGUAACUGGUGCUCGAAACAUCGCUGCUACAGCUUUGCUGAGGCCAGUCUCCUAGGUGUGGUGGUACUUGAGCUAAAACUGUCUGGAUGCCCUUUCUCUCUUUCUUAGAUUUAUUUAUUUGAGAGAGUGAGCGAGACAGAGCACACAAGCAGGGGAGAGGGCAGAGCAGGAGCCCGACAUGGGGCUCGAUCCCAGGACUCCAGGUUCAUGACCUGAGCCGGAGGCAGUCACUGAACCGACUGGGUCGCCCAGGCACCCCAGGAUGGUAUUUCUGU
RNAcentral lists this long non-coding RNA (1275 nucleotides) under Mustela putorius furo (domestic ferret). RNAcentral's name for it is "lncRNA (ENSMPUG00000025821.1)". Lineage: Eukaryota; Metazoa; Chordata; Mammalia; Carnivora; Mustelidae. The record is from RNAcentral.